Long non-coding RNA from Pseudophryne corroboree (corroboree frog), 1169 nucleotides. RefSeq lists it as uncharacterized. Lineage: Eukaryota; Metazoa; Chordata; Amphibia; Anura; Myobatrachidae. The transcript has 5 exons. The record is from RefSeq and is a predicted model, not a curated record.
GUGGUGGGUCCCCAAGGCCGUUUCUAGACAAUAUUGCUCGCAGUGAGAGCAAUAUAAAUGCCCCCCGCAGAGUGAGGUCAUGCUGCAAAAAGGGGGUGUGGAUUAACUGCUAGGGGCAUAGCCAAAAAAGUCUUUGAGAAUUACUUUAAUGGAGGACAGUAUGGGUGAGCUGGGGGCACAGGUAAUGUAGUUAGCAGAAAUCCCUCUACUGUGUGCUAAAGAGCCACAUAGCCCAACAAGGAGAAUGGAAAGUAAUUCCCAAAUAUAACAGGAGGUCUCAUCCAGGGGUCACUGAGGCUGCAGUCAGUGUCUAGGUGAUGUUUUCCCUGCUGCUUUUCAGCUGGCCAACGAUACCGAAAGAUCCCUGGAGAGUGUCUGGGACGCCAUAGAACCGCACAGGCAGAGUGCUGCAGCGUGAAGCAUUUCCAGGCACACAGCCGGAGGGAGCUGGGGAAGCUGUAUGCUCCAAGCAGAGGGGAAUGCUCCGGUGACACAGGCAGGACGAGAUCUGGAGUCAGAAACCAGUGGUGGGGAGCAGCAGUCAGCAAGUCAAGGUCAGCGUGAUAACUCCCCACCAAACUGUAGACAGAUGCUCCAGGAAGCUGCGGCUGUCACCCGGGAGCAGAGAGGGGAAGUAACAGCACGUGUUGGCAGGGGCGUGGCAGGGGGCCCUGAGAUUAUUUAUGGUGCUGGUUCAGCGAAUCCAAUUUAUCACCCAUUGGAAACAGUAAUUGUUCCAUAGUAUUCCCUUUGUUCAUAUGCUUCAUUGGUCCAAUAUAAUCGUUGGUAACCAUAUAUAAAGUUCCUGUUAGUGACCUUCAUUGAUUGAAGAUUUUUAUCCGAUUUUAUUAAUUCUGUAGUAAUUUCCCACAUGGAAAACCGAUCUGUUUUCAGACCACAGUAUUUCAAACCGGCACUUCUAGCGACAUACUCCUGUAUAUCAUAUUUGCCUAUAAAUAUUGAUUCUUGCCCCUGAAUAAGUCCUUUGGGACGACGUUGGAUUCUGUGUCAUUUUGUUUUUCAUUUACCAUCAUCUGAAUGAAUAUCUGCCAAAAGCUAUUUGUCCUGUUCAUGUUGGAUCAAUCAGUACAUCAAUGUAAAAUCUGCUGUUAAUCUGAGCUUAACUGCUCUUAUGUGUGGUUCUGUAAAAUAAAUGUUAUUUAUCUAAA